This 69-nucleotide transfer RNA is filed under the name Oberthuerella sharkeyi. RNAcentral describes it as "tRNA-Val". The record is from RNAcentral. Lineage: Eukaryota; Metazoa; Arthropoda; Insecta; Hymenoptera; Liopteridae.
UAAUUUUUAAUUUAAAGGAAAAUUUUUCAUUUACAUUGAAAAUUUAAUAAAUUAAUUUAUUAAAAUUAU